CCAAAUAUCUAAACGGGGAAAUUCAAUACUAAGCGUUAAAACUUAGUGUGCACUUUUCCUUUAGUAAGACAUCGUGAUCCAUUAGAAAUUGAUGUACGCCAUGUGCAUAUUAGGUCAUCAAUGAGCCGACGUGAAGUUUAUCGGAACAAAUGCUAUGAUCUUUCAACGGUCGUAUAUAUUGUCUGGUAAGCGCGUCGAUACUCGCUAUGACUGUCUGAUGGAUUUUAAAGGCCGAUAUCAUUAAUGUUAAGGCAUUACAUACGCAAGUAUGAAUACGAUACGUGCCCGAUCAACGAUGGUUAAAUUUGGGAUACCUUUUGGACCCGUCUUGAAACACGGACCAAGGAGUCUAUCUAAUGUGCGAGUAAAUGAGUAGUUUAUGAAACUUAUUUGCAUAAUAAACUUGACUGAUUCAUUCAAUGGGAUUACGAGAAUGGCUACGCAAGUGGUUAUCUCUUCCAUCCCGGGGUAUUUUCAUCAACAUACGAGCAAUCGUAUGGAAAAUAUACCAUGAGCACAUUGGAUACGACCCGAAAGAUGGUGAACUAUGCCUGAUCAAGUUGAAGUCAGGGGAAACCCUGAUGGAGGACUGAAGCAGUUCUGACGUGCAAAUCG
This 615-nucleotide ribosomal RNA is filed under the name Stempellina sp. 2 SRM-2010. Its description in RNAcentral is "eukaryotic LSU rRNA". It matches the Rfam family "Eukaryotic large subunit ribosomal RNA", at positions 430 to 900 of the family's 3401-position model. Lineage: Eukaryota; Metazoa; Arthropoda; Insecta; Diptera; Chironomidae. The record is from RNAcentral.